UGGGACAUCACUUAAACAGUUUUCAUCUGAAGAAACCACACCAAUCAUUUUCAGGCUCUGAACACCACAUCCUGAUUAUUAAGUUAUAAAACAAGAGAAACUGCAAUGGUAUUUAUGACUAGCAACCCCAGUCUUUCUGGUCACUUAAUCAGCGUGAAUUGAUCUUGUUUGGUCCAACACAUCUGAAGAACAGAUCAUCUCCUUCCUAGAAGGAAACAAAAAAAUAUUGCCUCAGGGGAAAGAAAUUGGCAAUGUUUUCCAAGCAUAAUCAUAUAGUUAUGCUUUCAAAACAGGGGUGCCUUCCCAGACUGACCCCCAGUAGCAGAGGAAUCAUCAAGAACAGAGACAGUGACAUGAGAGUCCCCCCAGCUUUCUUGGACUAUAGCGUUAUUCCUUUCUCAAAUACAAACUGUUUGGAACUGAGGCAUUAUUCAAAAUAAGAAUGAAAAUAAUAAUUAUAAAUUAGUAAGAAUGGAGUAUCUGUGAAUCACUUCAGGGAAGCACUGAAGCCUAUGGAGAUAUACGGACACAAAGGCAGACCUGAGGAAGAAUGUCAUCUGUUCUUUCCUGCACUACUGGCUGGAUCUGGGACAUUACUUGGUUGUUAUUUUUUAAAUGACCCUCAUGAACACCUGCUAGCCCCUUCAAGGUUUCCAUAAAUGAGGGAUCCCAGAUAUGUUUGGCUUUGCUUCUGUAUUUUCUGUUCCUACUUUCUAGAUUCUUCAUAUUUUCACUGUCACAGCAUUUCACAUUCAGAUGAAAUGCUUCAAGUGGCUUUACUGUUUAUCUAUACAUGCAUAUAUACACACACAUAAGUACACAUUAAAUUGUUAUAAAAUUGUCUCUACCAGGAAAUAUAUUCCUUCUUUUUCUCCCACUUAUAUUUCAAGUUCCUAUUUAAGAACAAUGAGACAAACUACUAUCAGCGUCUUUCAGUCUUCACAUAGUAGCUGUAUACAGGUCAAAAUUAAAGUAACAUUAUCAAAAGAGAUUGGAUUAAAUUAUGAAAAAAAAAAAUGGUCAGAUAAAAGAGCAUAAAAAGAUUAAACUGAGAUGGCUUGGCACAGAAAUAUCUGUAAAAAGUAAUGACUUUUUUUUUUUCACCUAAGUCAAGCAUUCUGUGUUUUGCUAUGUAUUUUACGAAGGUGUUUUAGCUGUGCUAAUGGAAAAGAAAUUAAUGUAUUAAUGAGAUACAAUUGUUUCUGACAUGCAAUAAAAAAGGGAAGCAACAAUUUAAGAAGUAGGAUGAUAUCUGAACUUUAAAAACCUGUAACAUUUUUUUGUUUGAACUGUAAAUGCCUACUUAAAGAUCUCUGUGACAGCAUUUGGUGUUAAUAUGAAUCUCAUAGACUCAAGCGUAUAUUGAGGGUCAUCAAUAUAGUCUACAGCAUGCUCCUAAAAGUCCUCAACACACCUGUUCAUAUGGAGAAAAUAUCAUAAAAAAUAUUUAGUUACAUUAUUUAUAUGACUUGUCCAGGGAAGUCCAGGUUUUGAAUAAGAAAGAUUCCCAAGAACUCCAAGCCUGUGUCCUUACAGGAGUCCUAAGUUUUGAGGCAGGCUGUAAAUGACUCUGUACCUGGUUGCAAUGGCUUAAGUAUAGCUUUGCAGUAAAAAAAGGUCAUAUAAUGAAAGUGCCACAGAAGGAUUGAUUUUGCUUGGGAAAGCAGAGGAACUAAUCCUUUCCUAUCACCUUCAUGCAGAGAAGUGUCCUUAUACAGAAUUAAAGCAGAAGAGCAUUAACUGGAGCCCUGUGCUCUCAUUUCCAACCUGGCUCACAGACCCAGGCUGUACAACAAAGGGACAGAUGGAGAAAAGAUAACUGACCUAUCUACCUGAGAUCUUUGCCUCAGAGGUCCUUCUGUAUGCCCUCCAGGCAGCUCAGAGUGGAAACAUCCAGAAGAGGCCACUUGAUCAAAGAGGACUGUCAUUCAGACUCUCGAAUUUAGGAGCACUUUGAUUAGGUGCUUAAUUAAGAACCCAGCUCAGGCUGUGAGUGUUAAACUCUGCCCUGACCUUAACAGCUGAAGGAACUCAAAGCAAAUGACAGAAUAUAU
Long non-coding RNA from Oxyura jamaicensis (ruddy duck), 2054 nucleotides. RefSeq lists it as uncharacterized. NCBI's taxonomy places the organism in Eukaryota, Metazoa, Chordata, Aves, Anseriformes, Anatidae. The transcript is spliced from 2 exons. The record is from RefSeq and is a predicted model, not a curated record.